This 253-nucleotide ribosomal RNA is filed under the name uncultured bacterium. RNAcentral describes it as "partial 16S ribosomal RNA". It matches the Rfam family "Bacterial small subunit ribosomal RNA", at positions 524 to 776 of the family's 1533-position model. The record is from RNAcentral.
UACGGAGGGUGCGAGCGUUGUCCGGAAUCACUGGGCGUAAAGGGCGCGUAGGCGGUCCGGUAAGCGGGCGGUGAAAGUUCGAGGCUCAACCUCGAAUCGGCCGUGCGAACUGCUGGGCUUGAGCACUGUAGAGGCAGAUGGAAUUCCGGGUGUAGCGGUGGAAUGCGUAGAGAUCCGGAGGAACACCGGUGGCGAAGGCGGUCUGCUGGGCGGAAUCUGACACUGAGGUGCGAAAGCUUGGGUAGCAAACGGG